Molecule: long non-coding RNA, 238 nt
Filed under: Elaeis guineensis (African oil palm)
Lineage: Eukaryota; Viridiplantae; Streptophyta; Magnoliopsida; Arecales; Arecaceae
Description: long non-coding RNA (EGUI_LNC045493)
Source: RNAcentral
UGGGACACCUAUGUAUUUAGUCAUAUUUUGGAUAUAUAUAUAUAUAUAUUUAUAUACUUUGAAUUUUAAUGAAUGUUUAUGAUUGGGAUCAAUUGAAUUGUCUUAAUUAUAAGAUAUGAAAAAUAACUCAUAUUUGUGCUAUGAAAUAUUAUGAAUAGCAAUAUUUUCUAUAUGAGCAAAUUGAUAUAUCCUUUAUGAUUGCUAUAAUGAGGGGGAGUAGAGAAAUAAACAAUCAAAG